Molecule: microRNA precursor, 103 nt
Filed under: Marmota monax (woodchuck)
Lineage: Eukaryota; Metazoa; Chordata; Mammalia; Rodentia; Sciuridae
Source: RNAcentral
AGAGGAAUAGCUGGGUCAAAUGGUGAUUCCAUUCCAAGAUUUCCAAGGAACCUCCAUACUGCUUUCCAUAUUGGCUGCACCAAUUUGCAGUCCCACCAGCAAU